RNAcentral lists this ribosomal RNA (568 nucleotides) under uncultured Pseudozyma. RNAcentral's name for it is "eukaryotic LSU rRNA". It matches the Rfam family "Eukaryotic large subunit ribosomal RNA", at positions 104 to 654 of the family's 3401-position model. The record is from RNAcentral. Lineage: Eukaryota; Fungi; Basidiomycota; Ustilaginomycetes; Ustilaginales; Ustilaginaceae.
GAGCCCAAGAUUGAAAGCUGGCGUCUUCGGCGUCCGCAUUGUAAUCUCAAGAAGUGUUUUCCGCUUCGGACCAAGCCUAAGUCCCCUGGAAAGGGGCAUCAUAGAGGGUGAUAAUCCCGUACAUGGCUUGGAGCGCCCGAGGCUUUGUGAUACGCUUUCUAAGAGUCGAGUUGUUUGGGAAUGCAGCUCAAAAUGGGUGGUAAAUGCCAUCUAAGGCUAAAUAUUGGGGAGAGACCGAUAGCGAACAAGUACAGUGAUGGAAAGAUGAAAAGAACUUUGAAAAGAGAGUUAAACAGUACGUGAAAUUGCCAAAAGGGAAGGGUAGGAGGUCAGAGAUGCGGCCUGGGAUUCAGCCUUGCUUUUGCUUGGUGUUUUUCCCAGAUUGCAGGCCAACGUCGGUUUUGGGCACUGGAGAAGGGUAGGAGGAACGUGGCACCCCUCGGGGUGUGUUAUAGCCUCCUACUGGAUACAGCGACCGAGACCGAGGACAGCAGCGUACUCGCAAGAGCGGGCCUUCGGGCACCUUUACGCUUAGGGCGUUGGCAUAAUGGCCCUCUACCACCCGUCU